This 468-nucleotide ribosomal RNA is filed under the name uncultured bacterium. Its description in RNAcentral is "partial 16S ribosomal RNA". It matches the Rfam family "Bacterial small subunit ribosomal RNA", at positions 28 to 507 of the family's 1533-position model. The record is from RNAcentral.
GACGAACGCUGGCGGCGUGCUUAACACAUGCAAGUUGAACGGAAAGGCCCUGCUUUUGUGGGGUGCUCGAGUGGCGAACGGGUGAGUAACACGUGAGUAACCUGCCCUUGACUUUGGGAUAACUUCAGGAAACUGGGGCUAAUACCGGAUAGGAGCUCCUGCUGCAUGGUGGGGGUUGGAAAGUUUCGGCGGUUGGGGAUGGACUCGCGGCUUAUCAGCUUGUUGGUGGGGAAGUGGCUUACCAAGGCUUUGACGGGUAGCCGGCCUGAGAGGGUGACCGGCCACAUUGGGACUGAGAUACGGCCCAGACUCCUACGGGAGGCAGCAGUGGGGAAUAUUGCACAAUGGGCGGAAGCCUGAUGCAGCAACGCCGCGUGCGGGAUGACGGCCUUCGGGUUGUAAACCGCUUUCGCCUGUGACGAAGCGUGAGUGACGGUAAUGGGUAAAGAAGCACCGGCUAACUACGUG